Molecule: transfer RNA, 55 nt
Filed under: Gnathostoma sp. MMS-2017
Lineage: Eukaryota; Metazoa; Nematoda; Chromadorea; Rhabditida; Gnathostomatidae
Description: tRNA-Leu
Source: RNAcentral
AUACAAAUAGUAUAGAAAAUAUAUUAGACUUAGAUUCUAAAGAGAGAGAUGUAUU